Molecule: ribosomal RNA, 245 nt
Filed under: uncultured bacterium
Lineage: Bacteria
Description: partial 16S ribosomal RNA
Rfam family: Bacterial small subunit ribosomal RNA
Source: RNAcentral
UACGUAUGAGGCGAGCGUUGUUCGGAAUUAUUGGGCAUAAAGGGCAUCUAGGCGGAAUAUUAAGUCGGGUGUGAAAUCUUCAGGCUUAACCUGAAAACUGCAUUCGAUACUGAUAUCCUUGAGUCUGGGAGAGGAAGGCGGAAUUCCUGGUGUAGCGGUGAAAUGCGUAGAUAUCAGGAAGAACACCGGUGGCGAAGGCGGCCUUCUGGCCUAAGACUGACGCUAAAGUGCGAAAGCGUGGGGAG